GGAGAGGUGGCCGAGUGGUCGAAGGCGCUCCCCUGCUAAGGGAGUAGGCGGCUUAAACCCGCCUCGUGGGUUCGAAUCCCAUCCUCUCCGCCA
Molecule: transfer RNA, 93 nt
Filed under: Prosthecomicrobium pneumaticum
Lineage: Bacteria; Pseudomonadati; Pseudomonadota; Alphaproteobacteria; Hyphomicrobiales; Kaistiaceae
Description: tRNA-Ser
Rfam family: tRNA
About the family: Transfer RNA (tRNA) molecules are approximately 80 nucleotides in length. Their secondary structure includes four short double-helical elements and three loops (D, anti-codon, and T loops).
Source: RNAcentral